GUAAUGCUUUGGAAUCUUCCCAGUAGUGGGGAAUAACCAGUCGAAAGAUUGGCUAAUACCGAUACGUCUGUAAGGGGAAAGCGGGGGCUCGUAAGACCUCGCGCUAUUGGAUGAGCCAAAGUCGGAUUAGCUAGUUGGUGGGGUAAUGGCCUACCAAGGGGACAAUCCGUAGCUGGUCUGAGAGGACGACCAGCCACACCGGAACUUGAGACAACGGUCCGGACUCCUACGGGAGGCAGCAGUGGGGAAUAUUGGACAAUGGGGGAAACCCUGAUCCAGCGACGCCGCGUGUGUGAAGAAGGGCUGCGGGUUGUAAAGCACUUUUAGUGGGGACAAAAAGCUACGGACUAAUAUUCUGUGGUCUUGAUUUAACCCAAAGAAAAAGCACCGGCUAACUCUGUGCCAGCAGCCGCGGUAAUACAGAGGGUGCGAGCGUUAAUCGGAAUUACUGGGCGUAAAGCGCGCGUAGACGGUUUUGUAAGUCAGAUGUGAAAUCCCUGGGCUCAACCUGGGAACUGAUUUGAAAUGCAUGGUAGAGUAUCGAAGAG
RNAcentral lists this ribosomal RNA (548 nucleotides) under uncultured bacterium. Its description in RNAcentral is "bacterial SSU rRNA". It matches the Rfam family "Bacterial small subunit ribosomal RNA", at positions 110 to 656 of the family's 1533-position model. The record is from RNAcentral.